RNAcentral lists this ribosomal RNA (490 nucleotides) under uncultured bacterium. RNAcentral's name for it is "partial 16S ribosomal RNA". It matches the Rfam family "Bacterial small subunit ribosomal RNA", at positions 30 to 507 of the family's 1533-position model. The record is from RNAcentral.
AUUGAACGCUGGCGGCAGGCCUAACACAUGCAAGUCGAACGGUAACAGGAAGAAGCUUGCUUCUUUGCUGACGAGUGGCGGACGGGUGAGUAAUGUCUGGGAAACUGCCUGAUGGAGGGGGAUAACUACUGGAAACGGUAGCUAAUACCGCAUAACGUCGCAAGACCAAAGAGGGGGACCUUCGGGCCUCUUGCCAUCGGAUGUGCCCAGAUGGGAUUAGCUAGUAGGUGGGGUAACGGCUCACCUAGGCGACGAUCCCUAGCUGGUCUGAGAGGAUGACCAGCCACACUGGAACUGAGACACGGUCCAGACUCCUACGGGAGGCAGCAGUGGGGAAUAUUGCACAAUGGGCGAAAGCCUGAUGCAGCCAUGCCGCGUGUAUGAAGAAGGUCUUCGGGUUGUAAAGUACUUUCAGCGGGGAGGAAGGGAGUAAAGUUAAUACCUUUACUCAUUGACGUUACCCGCAGAAGAAGCACCGGCUAACUACGUG